This 585-nucleotide ribosomal RNA is filed under the name uncultured bacterium. Its description in RNAcentral is "bacterial SSU rRNA". It matches the Rfam family "Bacterial small subunit ribosomal RNA", at positions 338 to 916 of the family's 1533-position model. The record is from RNAcentral.
CCUACGGGAGGCAGCAGUGGGGAAUUUUGGACAAUGGGGGCAACCCUGAUCCAGCAAUGCCGCGUGUGUGAAGAAGGCCUUCGGGUUGUAAAGCACUUUUGUCCGGAAAGAAAUGGCUCUGGUUAAUACCCGGGGUCGAUGACGGUACCGGAAGAAUAAGCACCGGCUAACUACGUGCCAGCAGCCGCGGUAAUACGUAGGGUGCGAGCGUUAAUCGGAAUUACUGGGCGUAAAGCGUGCGCAGGCGGUUUUGUAAGACAGGCGUGAAAUCCCCGAGCUCAACUUGGGAAUGGCGCUUGUGACUGCAAGGCUAGAGUAUGUCAGAGGGGGGUAGAAUUCCACGUGUAGCAGUGAAAUGCGUAGAGAUGUGGAGGAAUACCGAUGGCGAAGGCAGUCCCCUGGGACGUCACUGACGCUCAUGCACGAAAGCGUGGGGAGCAAACAGGAUUAGAUACCCUGGUAGUCCACGCCCUAAACGACGUCAACUAGUUGUUGGGGAUUCAUUUCUUCAGUAACGUAGCUAACGCGUGAAGUUGACCGCCUGGGGAGUACGGUCGCAAGAUUAAAACUCAAAGGAAUUGACGG